AGUGAACGCUGGCGGUAGGCCUAACACAUGCAAGUCGAACGGCAGCACAGUAAGAGCUUGCUCUUACGGGUGGCGAGUGGCGGACGGGUGAGGAAUACAUCGGAAUCUACUUUUUCGUGGGGGAUAACGUAGGGAAACUUACGCUAAUACCGCAUACGACCUACGGGUGAAAGCAGGGGAUCUUCGGACCUUGCGCGAUUGAAUGAGCCGAUGUCGGAUUAGCUAGUUGGCGGGGUAAAGGCCCACCAAGGCGACGAUCCGUAGCUGGUCUGAGAGGAUGAUCAGCCACACUGGAACUGAGACACGGUCCAGACUCCUACGGGAGGCAGCAGUGGGGAAUAUUGGGCAAUGGGCGCAAGCCUGAUCCAGCCAUACCGCGUGGGUGAAGAAGGCCUUCGGAUUGUAAAGCCCUUUUGUUGGGAAAGAAAAGCAGCAGGUUAAUACCCCGCUGUUCUGACGGUACCCAAAGAAUAAGCACCGGCUAACUUCGUG
This 492-nucleotide ribosomal RNA is filed under the name uncultured bacterium. RNAcentral describes it as "partial 16S ribosomal RNA". It matches the Rfam family "Bacterial small subunit ribosomal RNA", at positions 29 to 507 of the family's 1533-position model. The record is from RNAcentral.